Non-coding RNA from Ictidomys tridecemlineatus (thirteen-lined ground squirrel), 732 nucleotides. Lineage: Eukaryota; Metazoa; Chordata; Mammalia; Rodentia; Sciuridae. The record is from RefSeq and is a predicted model, not a curated record.
GACCGCUGUGUAGGAUACUGGAAGUCGGCCUGGCACCAGUGACCUCCAGGAGGUGCAGAUCCUAGAAGCCUGCCAGGAUUUGGCUAGUGAUGGUCCUAGAAGUGAAGUGGCCGGCAGACAAAUGGCUCUAGUGUGCAACAGACUUCAGCACAACCAUGACCAGGAUCCUGGAGGGCAAACACUGACCUCAGAAGGGUUUCCAGUGGCACAAGUGGCAGCGCAUGCUUCUACAUGCUUCUACAGGCCCUCUUCAGAAGUAUGAUGCCAGCCCACUUCCUUUGUCCAUCUUGAAAUCCAAGGUGAUGCCACCCAAGGGGGGACCUACUGCAAGAAAGAACUAUUAUUCAAUGGGAGUAUGGCCUUUGAGCAUGGAUAAUUGAUCAUAAAUCUUUGGGCAGCCCAGCUGGUUUUCCAUAUGACUACAGAGGAGCACCAUAUGGCCUCUGGCACUCACAGGGGUCCGCAACACUCACAGAUUUCAUAAUAUAGGACAUCUGAACUAGGCCAAUGCAUAUUUGUUUUCCAUACCAGAAAAGCUGAAAUCUCGACUGUUGGAUAAGGACGAACUUAUAAAUUUACUAAAAUAAAAAAUUGAUGUUUCAAGUCAUUAAAGAAAAAUUCAGCUGUAUGCCUUUGAAUAUCCAGGCAAGUACCAAGUUGUGCCAAGAAUGAGGUUAUACAUGAUUCCUCACUCUAUAUGUGAUCAUAUCUAAAAAUUUAAGUCUUCUGUGG